CAGCCGCCGCGGGAAUACGAAGGGUGCAAGCGUUACUCGGAAUUACUGGGCGUAAAGCGUGCGUAGGUGGUGGUUUAAGUCCGUUGUGGAAGCCCUGGGCUCAACCUGGGAAUUGCAGUGGAUACUGGGUCACUAGAGUGUGGUAGAGGAUAGUGGAAUUUCCGGUGUAGCAGUGAAAUGCGUAGAGAUCGGAAGGAACAUCUGUGGCGAAGGCGACUAUCUGGGCCAACACUGACACUGAGGCACGAAAGCGUGGGGAGCAAACAGGAUUAGAUAUCCCCGUAGUCCCUGUCUCUUAUAC
Molecule: ribosomal RNA, 301 nt
Filed under: uncultured bacterium
Lineage: Bacteria
Description: partial 16S ribosomal RNA
Rfam family: Bacterial small subunit ribosomal RNA
Source: RNAcentral